AUGCACGCUGGCGGCAUGCCUAACACAUGCAAGUCGAUCGGUAAGGCUCUUCGGAGUACACGAGAGGCGGACGGCUGAGUAACGCGUAGGAACACACCCUGCAGUGAGGGAUAAGACACCGAAAGGUGUUCUAAUACCGCAUACGGUCUUCGGAUUAAAGCAUUUAUGCGCUGAAGGAGUGGCCUGCGUCAUAUUAGAUAGUUGGUGAGGUAAUGGCUCACCAAGUCGAUGAUGUGUAGCUGGUCUGAGAGGAUGAUCAGCCAGACUGGAACUGAGACACGGUCCAGACUCCUACGGGAGGCAGCAGUGAGGAAUAUUUCACAAUGAGCGAAAGCUUGAUGGAGCAAUGCCGCGUGCAGGAUGAAGGCCCUCGGGUUGUAAACUGCUUUUAUAAGAGAAGAUUAUGACGGUAACUUAUGAAUAAGAGACGGCUAACUACGUG
This 442-nucleotide ribosomal RNA is filed under the name uncultured bacterium. RNAcentral's name for it is "partial 16S ribosomal RNA". It matches the Rfam family "Bacterial small subunit ribosomal RNA", at positions 29 to 507 of the family's 1533-position model. The record is from RNAcentral.